Folsomia candida is the source of this 2336-nucleotide long non-coding RNA. RefSeq lists it as uncharacterized. NCBI's taxonomy places the organism in Eukaryota, Metazoa, Arthropoda, Collembola, Entomobryomorpha, Isotomidae. The record is from RefSeq and is a predicted model, not a curated record. The transcript has 3 exons.
CUUAGGCUCACCAGGGUGAGCGAACUGUGAAUUCUCACCAAAUUUAUCCCCACAAAGACUUCGAAUUGAGACGGAAUGAUUUUUAUGAGAAUCUCACAAAAUUGCUAAAAACAUGCUGUGCAGAUGCAUCCUUUCUUACAAGAUGUUAGUUUUACAAGACAUUCUUCUUCCUAUGUCAGCUUCAUUCUCAAACUAUUCUUGAGUUUGAUUUUAUAUUAUUAGAUACGCACUUGUACCAAAUUUUGAGUUUGUACGACAAAAUAGUUGGUACGUACAACGCCAACAACCUAACUCACCCCACUGGACAAGUAAAUUAGACAAACCAUGCCCAUUUUCGAACUCACGUAAAGAUAUGCAUUUUGAGACAAGUUUGUCAAAAUCAGUUUUCUCUAGUAGUAGGUCCGCUAACUACAGUGAAAUAGACUGACGUAACGAUGUAGAUUAUAGAUACACAUGUUUGUUACCGACUCACUUGUACAAAACUCAUGUUUCUCAGACUCUGUAAAUUGACGAGAGCGGUACGUGUUUGCCCUAAAUUCAAUUUAGAAACUUAUCCCUAUUAUUGCGAAGUAAAAAUCUUUAUAUAGUUUUUAUAUGGUAAACUGUUGUAAUUAUCUAUUCUAUCCGCUUUCUAUUCUCCAGCAAGUUGAGUAAGACAAGUACGCACCGGCUAUGAAAAUUAAUACUCAAAAUCUUGAGUCGCGUGCAUGAUGAGUUGGAGUUGGAGCUACCUAAUUCUGUUUGGCUGACAUGAUUUUGCUAAUGCUUAAUGAUAAUAAUCCUGCGUAUAUAUAUGUAUGUAUAUACUCAAUUCUGUACUCUUUAUUACAUCCAUCCAACCCUAUUGUUGUACUAAACCUUCAAGAUCAGAAAAUAUUGCUGCUGGCUUUGCAUUGUUGACAUGGCAGAGUCUGGGGAGCACGAGCAACGUCGUCUAAAGGGUGGUGGAUGAAAGAGAUGACGAAAAUUACAAGCUGGGAACAUGUGCAUACGGCCGUCCAUGCAUUGGAGAAAGCAGGGCAGCAGCAGGGUUAAACAUUGAAGCUAAAACAAGUGAUGUCGAAACGCAGGGUUAAUUUAUGGCCUUCUCAAAAGGGCAUCCUGAGUGUAAUAAUAAUAAUGGACUAUAAUCUUCACCGACGACCCUUACAUUCGCCACAUGUAAAAAGAAAGGCAGGAGCUUGUGUCUUCCACGUGGAACUAACUAGCCAGCACGAGUAGCAUGAAAACAAGGACCAGAGUUGGUUGGAGAUUAUGAACGAAGCCUGAAACACGAAAACAAAUUACACAGGACGAUGCGCAGUUGUUGAAGACAAGACUCAACGGACGAAAGCCACUUUGUAAAACUGGGGAAAUUAAGAAAGGACUCUUCGUCUCCCACGUAUUUCUUGGAAAUAGAAUGCAGAAUUAGAAUGAAGCAAGCUGACAGUGAAAGUCAUCUCACCAAAUAUCGCAAACACCAACCGCAAACCAGCCUGUGACCAUGUGAACCCUCGUCCAUCCACGAACACAACUGGUUUUAUGUCACCAGAUUGUAAUUGGGUAGUCAAACGGACCAAAUACUCACUUGGUCAAGCUGACAAAGAUAUUUCGAACGGUCUUCAUUAAGAGAAAGCAAUAAACACGAGCUCCCCAGUUUCACAAGCCUUCCUUGACAUCAGGAGAUUCACAACACACAGACCGAUGCACUUUAUGUGUCUAUGCAGACAUCCUGGCUCACGAUACAAUCAUUGUGGAAGAAGUAAUAAUAUGAUCCUCUAUAUUGAAUGAUGUUCCACUGCUCGAGUCAAAUGUGUCCAGGAAAAGCCAGCCCAUAAAACAAUGUAGCAUAAUAACAGUGUACCGUUGUUACAUUGUUUGCCUGGUGAGUGAAUACUCACCAGAUCGAAAGACAUCAUUUGACAGUAGCAGCAGACACAAGAGAUAAAAAUAUCUCAAAAAGAAAGAAAGCGACAACCUUAUUUCCUCCAGCUUUUCAACUUAAUGUACAGAAAUGCCAUUUCGUGAAGAUCCCUAUAAACGAUAAGUGAGUCUAUAACUACAGGAAUAGUUGUGGCCAAAAUUGUAUAACUUGUUCAAUGAAAACGGAGAAAAUUCACAUAGCGAGUCUGAUUAGCUUAAAAAAAUUAAAAGUGCCAAAAACUUGACUGCUGCUUUAUUAAUAUAUGUACAAGUAAUUUCUAAGUUUCAUUUAUAAAUAAUUUAAUUGAAGUUACAUCAGACUAAAAAUGUGCCUGCUUCUAAUUUUGAUGUCAGUAUUAUUGUGAAUUCGGUCAUAAAAUUAAGUUAUGGGAGCUCAUGAAUAAAAAUAAUAUAAGUUCCUUCACAAAAUAAUA